GGGGAUUUAGCUCAGCAGCAUAAGCGUCUGCCUUGCAAGCAGGCAGUCAUGAGUUCAAUCCCCA
RNAcentral lists this transfer RNA (64 nucleotides) under Cavia porcellus (domestic guinea pig). It matches the Rfam family "tRNA", at positions 1 to 62 of the family's 71-position model. Rfam says of the family: Transfer RNA (tRNA) molecules are approximately 80 nucleotides in length. Their secondary structure includes four short double-helical elements and three loops (D, anti-codon, and T loops). The record is from Rfam by way of RNAcentral. Lineage: Eukaryota; Metazoa; Chordata; Mammalia; Rodentia; Caviidae.